This 75-nucleotide transfer RNA is filed under the name Pseudonocardiaceae bacterium. RNAcentral's name for it is "tRNA-Leu". It matches the Rfam family "tRNA". Rfam says of the family: Transfer RNA (tRNA) molecules are approximately 80 nucleotides in length. Their secondary structure includes four short double-helical elements and three loops (D, anti-codon, and T loops). Lineage: Bacteria; Bacillati; Actinomycetota; Actinomycetes; Pseudonocardiales; Pseudonocardiaceae. The record is from RNAcentral.
GCCGGCGUAGGCCAACUUGGUAGAGUCGCAACCCUUAGAAGGUUGACAGUGUGGGUUCGAAUCCCACCGCCGGCA